GUGGGGAAUAUUGGACAAUGGGCGCAAGCCUGAUCCAGCCAUGCCGCGUGAGUGAUGAAGGCCUUAGGGUUGUAAAGCUCUUUCACCGAUGAAGAUAAUGACGGUAGUCGGAGAAGAAGCCCCGGCUAACUUCGUGCCAGCAGCCGCGGUAAUACGAAGGGGGCUAGCGUUGUUCGGAUUUACUGGGCGUAAAGCGCACGUAGGCGGAUCGUUAAGUCGAGGGUGAAAUCCUGGAGCUCAACUCCAGAACUGCCUUCGAUACUGGCGAUCUUGAGUCCGGAAGAGGUGAGUGGAACUCCUAGUGUAGAGGUGGAAUUCGUAGAUAUUAGGAAGAACACCAGUGGCGAAGGCGGCUCACUGGUCCGGUACUGACGCUGAGGUGCGAAAGCGUGGGGAGCAAACAGGAUUAGAAACCCGGGUAGUCC
This 425-nucleotide ribosomal RNA is filed under the name uncultured bacterium. RNAcentral's name for it is "partial 16S ribosomal RNA". It matches the Rfam family "Bacterial small subunit ribosomal RNA", at positions 354 to 796 of the family's 1533-position model. The record is from RNAcentral.